RNAcentral lists this small RNA (53 nucleotides) under human gut metagenome. RNAcentral's name for it is "Streptococcus sRNA SpF59 (ldcC RNA)". It matches the Rfam family "Streptococcus sRNA SpF59 (ldcC RNA)". The record is from RNAcentral.
ACCGCCGCGCAUGUCGCGGCUGAGGCCACACGGACAGCCGGGUCGAAUGCCGA